Oncorhynchus masou masou (cherry salmon) is the source of this 672-nucleotide long non-coding RNA. RefSeq lists it as uncharacterized. The transcript has 3 exons. NCBI's taxonomy places the organism in Eukaryota, Metazoa, Chordata, Actinopteri, Salmoniformes, Salmonidae. The record is from RefSeq and is a predicted model, not a curated record.
AGCUCCAAGAAGAUGACACAGCUCAAAAUAAAAAUUAGCAAUCAGUACAACCAAGUCAUCGUUAUAAGGCAUCGCCCUCUUUUGCCCACCCCCCAGCACCAGGUGUGGCCACUAGCCUAUAUGAAGGCCCAAAAUUGUGUGUUCCUUUCUGCUCUGACAAUGGCAUGCCCAUUCGUGCGAGAUGUGGUGGAUGAAGAAGCACUUGUGCUGAGGAGAGCCUUCAGGCGAGAAAGGGUCUUCAGGGACCGGUUGGACCCACUGGCCUUCCCUGAUGACCAUCUAUAUGAAAGAUACAGGUUUUCUGCAGAUGGCAUCAGGUAUCUAUGCAGACUACUGGGUCCCAGGAUUAAGCACCGCACUGCACGGAGCCAUGCACUGAGUGUGGAGCAAAUGGUUUGUGUGGCCUUGCGCUUUUUUGCUAGUGGAGCCUUCCUGUACUCAGUGGGGGAUGCAGAACAGCUGAACAAGGCCACAAUUUGCCGCACAAUAAGGAGUGUGUGUCUGGCUAUCAAAGCAUUAGCAGAUGUCUUCAUCUCCUUCCCUGGCCACAGAAGACUCUGUGACAUCAAAGAGGAGUUCUAUAGGAUUGCAGAUGGUCUGCAAUGCUGACUGUGUGAUCAGCAAUGUUGUGGCAAAAUGGCCUGGCUCAGUCCAUGACUCCAGAAUCUUUCG